AUUGAACGCUGGCGGCAUGCCUUACACGUGCAAGUCGAACGGUAACAGGUCUUCGGAUGCUGACGAGUGGCGAACGGGUGAGUAAUACAUCGGAACGUGCCUAGUAGUGGGGGAUAACUACUCGAAAGAGUGGCUAAUACCGCAUGAGAUCUACGGAUGAAAGCAGGGGAUCGCGAGACCUUGUGCUACUAGAGCGGCCGAUGGCAGAUUAGGUAGUUGGUGGGAUAAAAGCUUACCAAGCCGACGAUCUGUAGCUGGUCUGAGAGGACGACCAGCCAGUCGUGGACUGAUACACGGCCAAGACUCCUACGGGAGUCAGCAGUGGGGAAUUUUGGACAAUGGGCGCAAGCCUGAUCCAGCAAUGCCGCGUGCAGGAUGAAGGCCUUCGGGUUGUAAACUGCUUUUGUACGGAACGAAAAGCCCUGGGUUAAUACCCUGGGGUCAUGACGGUACCGUAAGAAUAAGCACCGGCUAACUACGUGCCAGCCGCCGCGGUAA
Molecule: ribosomal RNA, 498 nt
Filed under: uncultured bacterium
Lineage: Bacteria
Description: partial 16S ribosomal RNA
Rfam family: Bacterial small subunit ribosomal RNA
Source: RNAcentral